RNAcentral lists this ribosomal RNA (276 nucleotides) under uncultured bacterium. RNAcentral describes it as "partial 16S ribosomal RNA". It matches the Rfam family "Bacterial small subunit ribosomal RNA", at positions 28 to 304 of the family's 1533-position model. The record is from RNAcentral.
GAUUAACGCUAGCGGCAGGCCUAAUACAUGCAAGUCGAACGGUAACAGGGUAGCAAUACCGCUGACGAGUGGCGCACGGGUGCGUAACGCGUAUGCAAUCUACCUUUAACAGGGGAAUAGCUCAGAGAAAUCUGAAUUAAUACCGCAUAAUAUAGUGAGUGGGCAUCCACUUACUAUCAAACCUUCGGGGGUUAAAGAUGAGCAUGCGUAUCAUUAGCAGUUGGUGAGGUAACGGCUCACCAAGGCUACGAUGAUUAGGGGGUCUGAGAGGAUGAU